GGGGGUGAUCGGUUUCGACUUGGGACGUCUGUUCCAGGGGAAGCGGGUCGAGAAUCCAGGGUCAACUCGUGAUGCUCCCUGGAAACAUCAAGUGCCAACGCUAAGCGCACUGACUUCGCUCUCGCUGCCUGAGCAGUGACCGAAGGGUCAGCCCGGGGUUGUCUCCGACCCGGUUCCUGGCCUCGUCUAGGAGACUUGCUGAUGUCGCUGCGUCACAGGACGCCAUCGGGACUUCACUGUGACUGAGCCCGUCUCACACCUUGUCAGCGUGAGUGUGGGGGCUGAGAAAAUCUACUAGCUGUCUGCACCCGGAGAAGCCCUGGUUCGUCGCUCGAGGACGCGGGUUCGAUUCCCGCCACCUCCACC
RNAcentral lists this transfer-messenger RNA (366 nucleotides) under pig gut metagenome. It matches the Rfam family "transfer-messenger RNA". Rfam says of the family: Bacterial tmRNA, also known as 10Sa RNA or SsrA, is named for its dual tRNA and mRNA-like properties. Its role is to liberate the mRNA from a stalled ribosome. The record is from RNAcentral.